RNAcentral lists this ribosomal RNA (1452 nucleotides) under uncultured Bordetella sp. RNAcentral's name for it is "partial 16S-23S ribosomal RNA intergenic spacer". It matches the Rfam family "Bacterial small subunit ribosomal RNA". The record is from RNAcentral. Lineage: Bacteria; Pseudomonadati; Pseudomonadota; Betaproteobacteria; Burkholderiales; Alcaligenaceae.
GGUUCGAUCCUGGCUCAGAUUGAACGCUGGCGGACAGCUUUGGCACACGCGUGUCGAACGGCAGCACGGACUUCGGUCUGGUGGCGAGUGGCGAACGGGUGAGUAAUGCAUCGGAACGCGCCUAGUAGCGGGGAUAACUACGCGAGCAGUAGCUAAUACCGCACACCUUCGGGGAAAGCGGGGAUCUCUGGCCUUCGCACUAUUAGAGCGGCUUGAUAUCGGAUUAGCUAGUUGGUGGGGUAACGGCUCACUCAAGGCGACGAUCCGUAGCUGGUUUGAGAGGACGACCAGCCACACUGGGACUGAGACACGGCCCAGACUCCUACGGAGGCAGGGGGAAUUUUGGACAAUGGGGGAAAACCCUGAUCCAAAACAUCCCGCGUGCGCGAUGGUUAUUCUCGGCCGUAAAACUUUACAGAAAGAAACGGGCACGAUGGGUCACCCCGUGCAACUGACGGUACCUGCAGAAUAAGCACUGGCUAACUACAUGCCAGCAGCCGCGGUAAUACGAAAAGCGGGUUGACCGGAAUUACUGGGCGCAAAGCGUGGCGCAGGCGGUUCGAAAGAAAGAUGUGAAAUCCCAGAGCUUAAUCUGGAACUGCAUUUUUAACUACCGAUAGAGCAGGUUUGAGGAGGUGGAAUUGCGUGUAAGUGAAAUGCGUAGAUAUGCGGAGGAACACCGAUGGCGAAGCAGCCUCCGGGAUAACACUGACGCUCAUAACGAAAGCGUGGGGAGCAAACAGAUUAGAUACCCUGGUAGUCCACGCCCUAAAACGAUGUCAACUAGCUGUUGGGGCCUUUCUUGGCCUGGUAGCGCAGCUAACGCGUGAAGUUGACCGCCUGGGGAGUACGGUCGCAAGAUUUAAAACUCAAAGGAAUUGACGGGGACCCACGCGGAUGAUGUGGAUUAAUUCGAUGCAACGAAAAAACCUUACCUACCCUUGACAUGUCUGGAAUCCCGAAGAGAUUUGGGAGUGCCUGCAAGAGAACCCGGAACAUAAAAGCGUAUGGCUGUCGUCAGCUCGUGUUCGUGAGAUGUUGAAUAAGUCCCAACGAGCGCAACCUUGUCAUUAGUUACGAAAGGGCACUCUGACGAGACUGCCGGCGACAAACUGGAGGAAGGUGGGGAUGACGCCAAGUCCUCAUGGCCUCAUGGGUAGGGCUUCACACGUCAUACAAUGGUCGGGACAGAGGGUCGCCAACCUGCGAGGGGGAGCCAAUCCCAGGAAACCGAUCAAACCGGAUCGCAGUCUGCAACUCGACUGCGUGAAGUCAACUGGUAAUCGCGGAUCAGCAUGCGUAAAAUGCGGUGAAUACGUUCCCGGUCUACACACUGCCUGUCACACUACAUGGGAGUGGGUUUUACCAGAAGAAGUAGCCCAAUCCUCGCAAGGAGGGCGAUUUACCACGGUAGGAUUCAUGACUGGGGUGAAGUCGUAACAAGGUAGCUCU